RNAcentral lists this ribosomal RNA (1313 nucleotides) under uncultured marine archaeon. RNAcentral describes it as "bacterial SSU rRNA". It matches the Rfam family "Archaeal small subunit ribosomal RNA", at positions 20 to 1336 of the family's 1478-position model. The record is from RNAcentral.
GAGGCUACCGCUAUUGGAGUUCGAUUAAGCCAUGCGAGUCGCGAGAAAUUAGAUUCUCGGCGUACCGCUCAGUAACACGUGGGUAACCUGCCCUAUGCUGGAUAAUAACCUCGGGAAACUGAGAAUAAUGAUCCAUAGUUCACUACGCCUGGAACGGUGAGUGGAUGAAAGCUCCGGCGGCAUAGGAUGGGCCUGCGGCGUAUCAGGUUGUAGGGGGUGUAACGUACCCUCUAGCCAUCUACGCGUACGGGUGUUGGGAGACAUAGCCCGGAGAUGGAUUCUGAGACACGAAUCCAGACCCUACGGGGUGCAGCAGGCGCGAAAACUUGGCAAUGCGAGAAAUCGUGACCAGGGAACUCCAAGUGCAUCGGGUAAGACCGGUGCUUUUCUUGACUCUAAAUAGGUCUUGGAAUAAGGGGUGGGUAAGGACGGUGCCAGCCGCCGCGGUAAUACCGGCGCCUCAAGUGGUAGUCGCUUUUAUUGGGCCUAAAACGUCCGUAGCCGGUCUGAUACAUUCGUGGGUAAAUCAACCAGCUUAACUGGUUGAAUUCUGCGAGGACGGUCAGACUUGGGACCGGGAGAGGUGUGGGGUACGCUCAGGGUAGGGGUAAAAUCCUGUCAUCCUGAGCGGACCACCUGUUGCGAAGGCGCCACACUAGAACGGAUCCGACGGUCAGGGACGAAGCCUAGGGGCACGAACCGGAUUAGAUACCCGGGUAGUCCUAGGUGUAAACGCUGUGGACUUGAUGUUGGGGGUGCUCCGAGCACUCUCAGUGUCGAAGCGAAGGUGAUAAGUCCACUGCCUGGGAAGUACGGUCGCAAGGCUGAAACUUAAAGGAAUUGGCGGGGGAGCACCACAAGGGGUGAAGCCUGCGGUUCAAUUGGAGUCAACGCCAGAAAUCUUACCCGGAGAGACAGCAGAAUGAAGGUCAAGCUGAAGACUUUACCAGACAAGCUGAGAGGUGGUGCAUGGCCGUCGCCAGCUCGUGCCGUGAGAUGUCCUGUUAAGUCAGGUAACGAGCGAGAUCCCUGCCUCUAGUUGCCACCAUUACUCUCAGGAGUAGUGGGGCGAAUUAGCGGGACCGCCGCAGUUAAUGCGGAGGAAGGAAGGGGCCACGGCAGGUCAGUAUGCCCCGAAACUCUGGGGCCACACGCGGGCUGCAAUGGUAACGACAAUUGGUUUCGAAUCCGAAAGGAUGAGGUAAUCCUCAAACGUUACCACAGUUAUGACUGAGGGCUGCAACUCGCCCUCACGAAUAUGGAAUCCCUAGUAACUGCGUGUCAUUAUCGCGCGGUGAAUACGUCCCUGCUCC